AACGCACAUUGCGCCCCUUGGUAUUCCGAGGGGCAUGCCUGUUCGAGCGUCAUUACAACCCUCAAGCACAGCUUGGUCUUGGGCUCCGCCGCUAACCCGGCGGGCUUUAAAAUCAGUGGCGGUGCCGUCGAGGCCCUGAGCGUAGUAAACAUCCUCGCUAUAGGGACCCGAUGGACACUAGCCAUCAACCCCAACUUUCUAAGUUUGACCUCGGAUCAGGUAGGGAUACCCGCUGAACUUAA
RNAcentral lists this unclassified non-coding RNA (242 nucleotides) under uncultured fungus. RNAcentral's name for it is "partial contains 5.8S ribosomal RNA, internal transcribed spacer 2, and large subunit ribosomal RNA". The stretch from base 1 to 52 matches the Rfam family "5.8S ribosomal RNA", at positions 103 to 154 of the family's 154-position model. The record is from RNAcentral. Lineage: Eukaryota; Fungi.